Molecule: ribosomal RNA, 252 nt
Filed under: uncultured bacterium
Lineage: Bacteria
Description: partial 16S ribosomal RNA
Rfam family: Bacterial small subunit ribosomal RNA
Source: RNAcentral
UACAGAGGUCCCAAGCGUUGUUCGGAUUCACUGGGCGUAAAGGGUGCGUAGGUGGUGGGGUAAGUCGGAUGUGAAAGCUCGGAGCUUAACUCCGAAAUUGCAUUGGAAACUACCCUGCUAGAGGGUCGGAGGGGGACUGGAAUACUUGGUGUAGCAGUGAAAUGCGUAGAUAUCAAGUGGAACACCAGUGGCGAAGGCGAGUCCCUGGACGACUCCUGACACUGAGGCACGAAAGCUAGGGGAGCAAACAGG